Molecule: long non-coding RNA, 3376 nt
Organism: Marmota monax (woodchuck)
Lineage: Eukaryota; Metazoa; Chordata; Mammalia; Rodentia; Sciuridae
Exons: 3
Source: RefSeq, a predicted model, not a curated record
AAGGGGAAGUGCCUGUCCGGCCACUGUGGCCACACCCAGCAGCAGGCCCCUGUGUGGGCAGCACCCGUGGGUGACCAGCUCAGGAUUGGGACCCUCUGCCCAGCGUGGGCUCCACUUGUCCUUGCUGACUGGGGAGAGUGAAGGGUGAGGGGACCUAAGACCAGGGUCCUCAUGUCACUGGACCCUGGCCUUCUGUACAGGCCGUGGGGAGCCCAGGGUGCUUCUGCUCGAGCGCAGCUCCCAGGCCUCCCUGUGAGUGAGGCCCCAGUGCACUGAGGUGAGCACCCCGAGGGAGCAGUCUCAGAUCAAAUGUCCCCUUUUGAGAGAACUUAGCAGCAUGGAGGAAGAUUCCAAAUGCCCAUCCAGGUGAGUGACCUCGCAGGAAGUGACUUUCCCAGGUGAGUGACCUCUCAGGAAGUGACUUCCAGGUGAGUGACCUCUUAGGAAAUAGCCUCUCAGGUAAGUGACUUUCCCGGUUGUGGCCUUUCAGGUAAGUUGCCUCCCUAGCCUCUCAGGGAAGUGGCCUCUCUGGGUAAGUGACAGUCAGGUGCAGUGUCCCCAGGGGGUGCCCUCCCAGGGUCCCAGGUGCCUGCUGGAGCAGGGAUGGGCACACAGGUCUCCCUGCUUCCAAAGCUCCCGGUCAUAACCCACGCAGCUGCUGUGACGGCGCCCGGGGGCUUCACUAGGAAUCUUCCGUGAAGUCAGUUCUCCACCGAGGGCUUGUGAGAAAUAGUGGGAGGGGGUCCCUGUCCUAGAGGGCCUGGCCGUGGACUCUGCUCUUGCCCCACGCUGUCCCCACUGAGGUGAGAACCGAGUGCUCUCAGAGUCCCUCUGCAGAGGCCGGCGCGUGGCACAGUGACCUAGAUCUCAGCACUGUCCCCAGCUGCACACGGGACUUCUGCUGUCAGAGCCUCGCUCGGGCUCCGCUACCCCUCUGGACAGCGUCGGCCAGGCGAGUGGUGACCUCUUCUCCCAGCUGGCCCUGUGGCCAUGGGCAGGGGAGGUCCUGGAGGCAGAGCCCUCCGAGACCAGCAAACUGCCCACCGGGGUCAGCAGGGGCAGCAGGAGGGCUUGUUCCUGUCACCGUCGUAGGCACCAAGAUCGGCCUGUGUGAGGCUGGCUCUUUCGGGAUGGCACUGCCUGGUGUCAGAUGUCUCAAUCAGGAGAACUGAAGGUCCUGCUCCUUUACUCUGGAAUCAACAUGGCAUGAAAUUUAUGUUUUAAUUAAAUUAAUUCUCGUGACAUGGCGACACCUAAGUGAAUUCCCCUGUUAGAAAACCAAGACCUGAUGGAGGAGCCCGGGUCUUUUUGUCCCUGCCCCAGGCGGCCACUGCUCACCUGGGGUGGCUGCUGGGCAGAGUGAGGGCCCUCUCUGGGGCUUUUCCUAUGCCAGGGCCUGAUGGCUACUCGGAAAGGCACAAGUGCUUGUCCAGUGCCCACUGUGUGCCCACAGGGCCCCCCUGGAGCACAGCCGGGGUGAGGGGAGGGGAGACAGCUCCACACAGCGAGGGGGGAUGGGGGACCUGGAGCGCGGGAGGUCAGGGAGGGCUUCCUGGGGAGGCGGUGGAGUUGGAGCAGAGGGCAGAGGUCACGGGGUGACGUGGAGAGCAGUGGUCCUGCAGGGGUUGGGAGGGGAGGAGGCCUGAGGCAGGCCUCCACCCCUCGCCUGGCCUCCACCCCUCCUCUGGCCUCCUCCCUGGCCUCCCUGCUCCUGUUUCCUUACACCCCAACCUGUCCUCAGGACCAGGUCCUGUCUCUGCCCAAAAUCUCCGGUGGUUCCCAUUACCCCCAGAGUAAAAGCCAAAUCGUCACGGGAUACCGAAGCCUCAGAUGACCAUCUCUCUACCCCUCCCUGUGGUCACCUGUCACCCCUCUGGUGUCAUCGCCCUGCAUUCUCCUUGACCACUGGGCUCCAGCCACACACUCAUCACUCCUCUCCUCUCAGGCCUGUUCCCUCUGCCUGUAGCCCUCUGUUCCCCACCGCUUCCUCCAAAUCCCAGGCAGUCCCUCGCCUCCGUCUCCCCGCCAGGUCUCGCUGGGCAGCCUGGGCACGACUCCGAUGGGUGCCGCUGUCACUCAACAGCGCCCCUCUGCCUGCAUUGGUUGUGGUACCUCCUCACCUUUGAUCUGUAGCCCUCUGUGACAAGUGAGGUCCAGGAGGGCUGGGGCCAGCUGCUGUGCUCAUAGCCACGUCCUGUGUCCAGCACAGAGGGACCAUGAGUCCGUACCAGGUGCAUGCUGGGACACUGAACAGGGAGGAAACCAGAGCCUGCUCUCAGCAGACAAGCCUGCCGCCCAGGGGCACAGAGGGCCUGGGGCCUGGGGCCUGAGACGGCCUGAGCCCUUCUGCACUGUGUCCGUGGUAUUAAAAUUUCAUGGGAAGAGACAAGUAAGAAAAAGUAGUCUAAAAAUGUUCCUUGGGAGUGACGAAGAAACAAAUGUGGAGGAACACGGAGGAGGGAAAUCAGCUGAAACCACAGCCUGGGUCCCCGCAUGAGCCUGGGUCCCCUCGUGGGCAGCCUGAGACCCGUAAUCAAGAUCUGUAACGUGUGUAAAGGGCCAUUUAUCCUGGUGGAGGGGAGAAUAAAAGAAACGCCUCAUUGCUUUGAGGAAACAUUUUUUUUACUCCUGCCAAGGGACAGACUCACAAAGGAUGGUAUUUACAUUUUCCUGAAGCCUCUAAUUUUCUCAUUUAUCACUUGUCAGAGCCCGAGGCCCUUCCUCAGCGCCUGGAAUGUUUGCAAACAUCUAAUGAUGCCUUUACCCAACAGCCAGCCUCUGCGAGGAGCCUGCUCCUGGGGCUGAAGCUGCUGAUUUAGUGCAUUAAUGUCACUCGGCGCCAUCUCACAGGGGUCUCAGGGCCACCGUGGGCUCUCAGCUCUUGGGCCCUGUGUCCCCAGGUGCUCUAAGACGAGGAACCAUGGAAACCAUCCCAGCUGCCGGUCAGUGGGGAGACGGCAGAGCACCAGGGGACAAGGCCUCGGGAGCCGGGCCAAGCUCCUCAGCUGCCCCCUGCCCUCCCAUGAUGACCAACACCGGUCACCAGGUGGCCUCAGUCCAGACCAGGACAGGGACCCCCCAGGGCUGACCUUCAGGGAGCGUCUGGUCCUGCUGAGUCCUUGGUUCUGGUGACAAAGGGACACUGAGAGAAGCCAGGUGCUCUCUGGAUCCUCCGUCACAAACCAGCUUAGAUGCCACACAUGGAUGUCACCACCGGAACCUCAGAAAUAACCUUGUAAGUUGUCACACGCUCAGGAGUGCGGGCUCUUUAGAGACUGAACCAGCUCGUGAUUGGGGUCCCUGAAAGGCAAAGGGGUCGGGGACAUUUCCCUUGUUCAACAGCAUCCCCCACUGCUCUGGGGGAGCUUGAAGACGU